UUCGCAAUGCCCGAAAGGGUGACGAAGCGACGCCGCGUGAGUGAGGAAGGCCUUCGGGUUGUAAAGCUCUGUCAGGAGUUAAGAAAUGUAAGUGUGCUAAUACCACAUUUAUUUGACGAAGGCUCCAAAGGAAGCCACGGCUAACUCUGUGCCAGCAGCCGCGGUAAUACAGAGGUGGCAAGCGUUGUUCGGAAUUAUUGGGCGUAAAGAGCACGUAGGUGGGUUUGUAAGUCAGAUGUGAAAGCCUUCUGUUCAACGGAAGAAUUGCAUCUGAAACUGCGAGUCUUGAGUGUAGGAGGGGAGAAUGGAACUUCUGGUGGAGCGGUGAAAUGCGUAGAUAUCAGAAGGAACGCCGGCGGCGAAAGCGACUCUCUGGCCUAUUACUGACACUGAGUGUGCGAAAGCUAGGGGAGCAAACGGGAUUAGAUACCCCGGUAGUCCUAGCCGUAAACGAUGGGCACUAA
This 464-nucleotide ribosomal RNA is filed under the name uncultured Planctomycetota bacterium. RNAcentral's name for it is "bacterial SSU rRNA". It matches the Rfam family "Bacterial small subunit ribosomal RNA", at positions 365 to 819 of the family's 1533-position model. The record is from RNAcentral. Lineage: Bacteria; Pseudomonadati; Planctomycetota.